UGCAUCUAAUUACUUUUAAAACUCUUAUUCAUGGGGAGCAACUUCAGUUUGUGGCUUUUAAUUGACAGUUUUCUAGAGCACGAAGAGAGAAGACAACAUGGACAACAUGAUGGACUCUGACAUGUCUCCUGACUCCCGAACAUCGUUUCGCUUUGACAAAAGGAUCGCUUUCUUUGCGAGUCAGGACCUGGCUUCUAUAAGAAGUAAAGCAUUUGUGUACCCUCAAACCGAACUCAGCACUAACAUCUGGAAAAGAAAGGCACUAGAUUUCACACCAAAACUAUACAGAUCCAUUAGGCUGCCUCAGAAGGCAAAAAGAAUUGAGCGUGCCUCUUUGACAUUGACCAGCUCUGCUGGUAACCUGGACAGUUUCUGGAAAGCCAGAUCAAUAGAGCUGCCAGAAAUUUUUCCAAAAAAAGAACAGCCAAAGUUUGAAGCAAGAUUCAGGCCUCCUGAUGCACUUGGAGCAAGUAUAAUUUUUGUAAAAACAGGCAAAUACCCCUCUGAUGUCUACAAAGAUCCCAAACCUCAUGACUUCAGGCAGUAUGAAGAUAAUAUACCAGACAUAGUGACGACCUAUGAACGAGAUCCAGGCAAUCUGAAUCUCAAGUUACAGAACCUCAGUGCAAUCGACAGCUCCAGAUCCCCAGCCCCAGCGCUGCGGCAGAAAGGGCGCUCUGACAGAUUCGACACGUUCAAGCCGGCCGAACCCAAGUGGGAUCCGAAGCUAAUACUUCCGGAGGGACCCUGGCCUCCAAAGUCAGCUUCUUACACGGUACGUGAGUCAACGUCACGAUCCGUCAUCAUUUUAGAGGCACUGUGUUUUUACACCCAGAGCCCCCAGAUCCAAUCCUCCUCGACCACAGGGCCUUUUUAAGUAUAGACUUUAUGUUUUAAUACUGUCAAGGGAGCCUACAUUUUCAAGAACUGCCUCUGCCCGUAUUUGGUGAACCUACCUGAAUGUGUUGGAAUCUACACCCCUUCCAUAAGAGGAAGCCAUCUUGGCUCAAACCCAGACCUCCGGACUUCUGGCUCUGAACCAAGAUGGCGUCCUCCUGUGUUGUGAUUUCAUCACAAUAUAUAACAACAUUCCAGCAACAUGCUUUGGUCAUGUAACUGAUUACUGUACGUCUUUCAGGCAAAGGCCCAGAUUAAAUAAAAACUUUGACCAACAAACCAAAAGCAAACUGCACUUUUAAGUGCUUGACGGCAGCUAUUUGUUUAAUGGAUUUUCUUAAAAUGUCACUAUCAAUAUUUUCAGUGCAACAAACACUUUGUGUAAAAAAUGGACAAGUGAAAUUUGAAGUUAUUAGUGAUUAAUUAUAAGGUUUGGUGUUGUAAAUAAUUGCUGUUUAUUGUUUUUAGAGACACAGGCGGAGAAGAGGUGUUUAUUCUGCCCUGAUGGAGCGUGUGGAAGAGAAACUUGAUAACAUGUGCAAAAAUGUACCAUAGAUUGUCAUCAUUACAGCAGUCAUAUAGCAUCUACAUCAUACAGCAGUAUACUAUAUAUGCAGUAGUACGUACAAUGUAGUUGUUCUCUUCUUCAUAUAUCACUUUUUAAAGGUGAGCUUGAAAGUGAUUUUUAUGUGUUGUGUUUUAGAUGUUCUUUCACUGCUUCCUUGAUAUACUCAGCUCCACAAACUACAAGCUAGACAAGGGCGUGCUUGGAAUUCUGUAGGUACUGUUUUUUAGAUUAAACUGGAGAAUCUGUGAUUCCAAGAAUACGAUGCAUCCAAAAAAAGCUUUGGAGGUUUUGGAGGUUUGGGGAGACAAAAACUGGGACCAGUGCUGGAUUUGAAAAAGAAAAUAACCAGAGAAACGGCAUGGAAUGCCUCUUGGGUGUUGUACGUCUUUGUCCACCUGGGGUAGAUGCGAAUUCCCAACAAAUUGUGCAUCUGCUGCACAUUCCUCACACUGUGCAUUCAGUAAAAAUGAAACUACCUCUCUUUGGCUCUCACAAGGCAAGUGCAUUAAUACAGUAUAUGUAUUGUACCAGUGUGCAAUACACUAAAGAAUCUUAGUGCUCUUACUUUAUACUUUUAUUUGAUGAUAAUUAUAUUGCACAUUGUUUUCAUUCACUUAAGGAUGUUUGUAUUCUUGCAGUUCUUGUAGAGGAUUGUUUUUUAUGUAUUGCUUUGGAAUGGGCAAUGUAAAAACCUGCCUCUUCUAUGUUUUGAAUGGCUGUUAGUUCAUAUGCAUUACUUUGUCCAAUGUCAUUCUAAAAUCUGCAAUAAACAUUCACUUCUCAUAAAGUCUGAACCUCUGGUAACAACUCAUGAGCUCAAACAGCAUAGUAAAUAAUUUUCUUUGUGUAAACAGUGUUCUGUUAUUAUUCUGGGUUCGAUUCAUUAACAGUCCACAAGAUUUGAAAGGGAAUAAUAACUUGACUGGAAAAGACCUCCACACACUCCUCGUUGUGUUACUAAUUUCAUGGCUUAAAGCCUUAUUGCUGCGCUCAUGCAUCAACUAGUAUCCUUACACAUACGUUCAUUAUUCUUAUCACUACAAAUACUACAGUCGUCAGUUACAGGAUAGAUACAUUUCUCAGAUGUAUCUGUCCCAUUUUGGGUGUUGGAGGUCCUGGAGCUUUCAAACCAGCCAUGAUGUAAAACCGUAAACAGACAGAAUCAUACCUUCUCAUUAACAGAAUUGUCAGAACCCAUUAAAUAUUAAUUGUAAUCAUCUUAGACUAGAUUAUUGUCACGCCCUGUACACCUAGAGGGCACUGCUCUUCUGUCCUGCUCCUAGUUCCCUGUGAUUAUUCAUGUCUUUCCAGUUUGUCCUGUUGUGUUGCCUAUUUACUUCCUGGUUCUGCUCUGCUCCUCGCUCGGCAUUGAGGGAACGGAUGUCCUGAGACCUGCCUAGCACCAGGUCGCUCCUGUCUGUGGCCUGAGGGCAUAGGUUUCUAUAGCGAGGUUUUGUCUGUCCCCCUGAACCUGGGCUAACCCCUGUGUUGCCCCUUUUACUGCUACACAUAGGGUCUGUCCUGCUCUCCUUGUCAUUCCACGGCUUGCCCUUCCGACAUCCGUGACAAUUAUGAUCACAUAUACAGUAGUCAUACUUUCAGUAGUAAAUUCGACAGAAAUGCUUUUGAUGCCCUUUGAAUAUGGUUUGUUUGUGCCUAAUUGUUAUUUAGCUAUCAGUUAUCAAACAAAGAUUUUUUUUUUCCAAGUUGGUCAUUGUUCCAUGGUGGCACAGUAGUUAGCAUUGCUGCCUCACAGUGCUGGGGUCCUGGGUCACUUCUUGGGGUGCUCCUGCCUCUGCGGGGAGUUCAUACUGUGUGUUCACCCCAGGUUCGUGUGGGUUUCCUCCAGGUGUUUCCUCUUACAGUCCAAAGACAUGCUGGUCAGUUAAUUCGCUUAUGGGAAAAUUGGCCCCGCUGUGAGUGUGUGUGUCUGUGUGCCCUGUGCUAGACUGGCAUCCCAUCAUGCAUGUGUCUGACAGGCAAUUGUCUGGCAAUCGACUGGCAGUACAUCCAGGAUGUAUUUUGCCUUGUGUCCCUUGCUUGUCUUGGUUAGCUUCCAGCUCCCAUGCAACCCUCUAUUGGAAAAGCGGAUUAGAAAAUUGUUGGAUGGUCAGACAUACUGUACUUGCACUUGGUCCAAUUCUUUUUUGUAUCUAUGCAUUACUGUUUGGUCAGAUUCUUUAUAGAUAUGACGUGAUCUUUCAUUUCUAUGUUGAUGACACCUAUAUUUACUGAAAAUGUAUGUACACACAAAAUCAGGCUGACAUUAAUCAAUCAUAUUCUGCUUUGCCACACUGCUCAGAUGAUGUUAAAAGUGAAGGUAACAAAGCGUUUUAGUUCUGGCCUCCGGAAAGAUAAAAGAUAUAUUAAUUUUCUAUCCUGUGUAAAUGUGUCAAUCUCUUUUCACUAUUGCUGGUUGUGGAAUCAGUUCAAGUGUUAUUCUUGGAUGAAUAAUAAACGAUUUUUGAAAAGGG
Molecule: long non-coding RNA, 3939 nt
Filed under: Lepisosteus oculatus (spotted gar)
Lineage: Eukaryota; Metazoa; Chordata; Actinopteri; Semionotiformes; Lepisosteidae
Description: lncRNA (ENSLOCG00000022239.1)
Source: RNAcentral